RNAcentral lists this small RNA (17 nucleotides) under Arabidopsis thaliana (thale cress). RNAcentral's name for it is "ATSL135800". Lineage: Eukaryota; Viridiplantae; Streptophyta; Magnoliopsida; Brassicales; Brassicaceae. The record is from RNAcentral.
UCUUCUCCAACGCCAGA